UUAUACCACUUCAGUGAGUCUCUGCGUGGCCACAACGUUGCUGGCCCCUGCUUGCAGGAGUGACUCUUACCAAAUUUUCUGGCAUACUAGAAAAAGUGAACGCAUAUCAGCAGCCCAGGCAACUUUCUUGUUCCAGUGCCUUCUGAUAGUUCAAACAUAAGGUUUCUUAAUAAAUAUAGAAGUCAAGUAAACGUUUCACAAUCUUCCAAAAGGCACUGGCAGGGAGGGGGCAACUCAUGCAUAAACUCAGCCAAAACAGAAUUCAGCUUGAGCUCUGGAUGUGAGAUUCAGCAGUGAUUAUUAUUUGUGUGACAAAGACAAGUGGAAACUUCUGGCAGAUUCUGUAUAAAACACCACUGAGGGAACACAAGUGCAAAGAGUUGAUCUCAAUGCACAUUAUAAAGGUGGGUAAAUUAUAUUAUCCAGUAGGGCCAGAAGCAGCCAAAUCUGGGACUCAGUGAGAGGGGGCAAAAUGGGGCCCAGCCAGGACUACCCCUUCCCUGGACCCAAAACUGUGUAGGGGAGACCCUACCCCAACUCUGGGAGCACUAGACCUCUCUUCCCCUGCCCUCCACCAUACAGCCCUGAGGAAGAACUGCACAGAACAGCCAGCCAGACACUCCAUCUGACAAGAGCAGAAACAGCCAAAGCUGGGAGCUCUGGACACUCCAGUCAAAACUGGAGAAAGUUCUGGUUUUCUUUGCCCUGUGCUGAUGGGAAGUAAAUUCCAACCCUCUCCCCACCACCCAGUCUCUCUACCUCAGCUUCACUCCUCCCCUGCCCUGCCCCUUUCACCCCACUUCCCUUCCCUAGCCACUUAAGGUCAGACCCAGGCAGUGGGUGGCCCUGAGAGACCAAGCUGUCACUUGACCCAACAUUCACACUGCUAUUUUCAGUCCUGCAGUAGGCCCUGAAGCCAAGGGAUUGAAGGCAAAGGGGUAUUCUCUUUCAGCACUGAGAGAGGAGAGGAAAAGACUCCAGGAGCUGUGGCUUAAAGUUGUGGAUUGAAGUGAUGGAGCUGGAUCUUGACCUGUUGAUGGCUUUGCAGAUGAAGAUCAAGGCCUUCAUCUGACAAUGGAAGUGGGGCUGGAGCAAGUGGAGGGAUUUGAUGAUGUGUUCACAGCAGCCAGUCCUGCUGAAGAGAUACACCGUUUUCCAGAAUACGGUCCCCCAUGCUGUACACAUGGCCUGCAUUCUUUGUUCCUAGAUGGAAAACUUUGCAUUUGGUUGAAUCGUUUGACUGGACACAGCUCACCAAGUGAUUCAGAUUGUUUAUGACUCACCCUGACCUCAUCACUAUGUACCCCUUUCCCAAUCUCUGUUAAACUGUACAUUUUAUCAGCAUGAUUUUAUAUUUACUUCUAUAUCACUGAUUAAAUAUUGUAUAGCGUCAGUCCUAGUACUGCACCCUGUGGAACCCCACUAGAAACACUUCUUUUUAUGAGGUUUCUCCAUUGACAACUACUUUAAGAUCUGUCACUAAGCCAGUUCUUAAUCCAUUUAAAGUGCAUUUUAUUGAUAUUGUCUAGUGUUAGUUUUGUAAUCAGAAGGUCAUGCAGUACUAAAUCAAACUCCUUACAAAGGUCUAAAGUAUAUUAUAUCUAUGCAGUUAUCUUUAUCAACCAAAGCUGUAAAUGUAUGAAAGAAUGAAAUCAGGGUUGUUUGACUGACCUAUUUUC
Molecule: long non-coding RNA, 1679 nt
Organism: Chelonoidis abingdonii (Abingdon island giant tortoise)
Lineage: Eukaryota; Metazoa; Chordata; Testudines; Testudinidae
Source: RefSeq, a predicted model, not a curated record